This 429-nucleotide ribosomal RNA is filed under the name Pseudomonadota bacterium. RNAcentral describes it as "Proteobacteria bacterium partial 16S ribosomal RNA". It matches the Rfam family "Bacterial small subunit ribosomal RNA", at positions 355 to 776 of the family's 1533-position model. The record is from RNAcentral. Lineage: Bacteria; Pseudomonadati; Pseudomonadota.
UGGGGAUUAUUGGACAAUGGGCGAAAGCCUGAUCCAGCCAUGCCGCGUGUGUGAAGAAGGUCUUCGGAUUGUAAAGCACUUUAAGUUGGGAGGAAGGGCAGUAAGCGAAUACCUUGCUGUUUUGACGUUACCGACAGAAUAAGCACCGGCUAACUCUGUGCCAGCAGCCGCGGUAAUACAGAGGGUGCAAGCGUUAAUCGGAAUUACUGGGCGUAAAACGCGCGUAGGUGGUUCGUUAAGUUGAAUGUGAAAGCCCCGGGCUCAACCUGGGAACUGCAUCCAAAACUGGCGAGCUAGAGUAGGGCAGAGGGUGGUGGAAUUUCCUGGGUAGCGGUGAAAUGCGUAGAUAUAGGAAGGAACACCAGUGGCGAAGGCGACCACCUGGGCUCAUACUGACACUGAGGUGCGAAAGCGUGGGGAGCAAACAGG